UGAUAGAAAAUUCUUUAUACUAUAUAAAACAAGAUCAAUAUCUUUGAUUUAAAAUUUUAAUGUCAUAUUAUUACAUUUGUAAGAUUUUUAUUUUCAGCCGUUGAUUUUGAGCCCUUCGUUCUUCACUAGGCAAAUGAUAUCGUAAAAUCGUAAAAUUUAUUUCCUAGGUACUUCAAAUACUCUAGAUCAAAUUUAACGGAGCCGAUCGACGAUUCGAAAGUCGCAACAUCGAAAACGAGAUGGAAGCACGGAAGGCUUCGUGCUUCCGAUAGCAUAGUACUCACUCUCUCUUAUAUAUAUUAUAUAUUAUAUAUAUAUAUAUAGUCCGGCUACUAUACUAUCGAUAGUACCAAGCUCUUGGUACUAUUGAGUUUUCUACCGUUAGAUCUACCUGUUGAUCAUUUCCACCCGUUAGAUUAUACUAUUAAACCAACCACCCACUCAACCCUAGGGGACCACUAUCAAUUUAACCGGGGACCACUAUCAUCCUAACCGCACAUCCUUUCAUCCAACGGCUAAAAACUCAAUAGUACCAAGGGCAUGGUACUAUUGAUAGUAUAGUAGCAUAAUUCUAUAUAUAUAUAUAUAUAUAUGUGAUCAAAUCUUGAUCGCAUUUCAACGCACUUUUUAAAAUUC
This 636-nucleotide long non-coding RNA is filed under the name Ananas comosus (pineapple). Its description in RNAcentral is "long non-coding RNA (ACOM_LNC026187)". Lineage: Eukaryota; Viridiplantae; Streptophyta; Magnoliopsida; Poales; Bromeliaceae. The record is from RNAcentral.